AAAGCAACAGCAGAAAAUUCGAAGAGAAGCCUUGAAAACACUGCAUUGAAAUCUGAAGUGGGAGAACUCAGGCACAUCUAGAGAUAGUAGAAAAUGUGGCAGGACACCUGAGUGGCUAAUUGACAUUGACAGAGAGGUUGUGGAGAGGCAUCUGGCUGCACUGGAUGAAUACAAAUCCCCUGGGCCGGAUGGGGUGCACCCAAGAGUGCUGAAAGAACUUUCUAGAGAACUUGCAGAACCCCUGCCCAUCAUCUUCAAGGCCUCCUGGAAGACUGGGGAUGUGCCACAAGAUUGGAGAAGAGUGAAUGUUAUCCCAAUCUUUAAGAAAGGGAAGAAGGAUGACACGGGAAACUACAGGCUGGUGCCAUGUCGGGCCACAGGAGGAAGAGGAUCCUGAUUUAUGGCCACAGCAUGGUGUUCUGGGCUGCCUAUCAAGCCAGGAGAACACCGAUUGGAUCACAGUUGGGUUUGAGAGCUGUGACCACAGUUGGGUUUGAGAGCAUGGCCUUAGAUGGCCGGGCCUACUGCCUCUCUUGUUUCGGGGAAGGACGGGUCCUCCCCCACACAUUUUGGUCAUUCACCUGGGAGGUAAUGACCUGGGGCUGAUGCAGGGUAAGGCCGUGUCAAUGCAGGUAGCUGAAGACCUUGGGAUUAUAAGCAGCCGAUGGCCGGGCAUGCUUAUAUUUUGGUUACAGACACUAUAGCAGCGGGUCUGGCGGGAGGCCUUAGUUCCUAGGGCAAUCGAGGGGGCCCAGUGCAAGGGUAAUCACGCCAUUAAAAAAUCCUUGGGGAAUGGCUUGGGUAUUUACGUACCACACCCCAGAAUUAGGGCCGAAUUUGCCCACCUCUACCGAGGCGACGGUGUACACCUGUCGACAGAGGGCAAUGACAUCUUUUAGGAUGAGCUGCGGCAAGGGCUUCAUUUGGCUUUAAGCCGUAUGUGGGGCAUGAGGGUCUAAGCAGAGGCUUGAUCCUUGCGGUGGCAGGAGAGUUUUGGGUAUAGGGUGCGGGCCGGUGAGCACCCAGUGGCGCUUCCCCAUGGGUGAGGAACAGGGUCUGCCUUCAGUGUGGUAUGCUUGUGGUGGCUACCCUUGCACAGGCAGACGCCUGCUGGGGAUCCCCAAGUACAAGGCCUUCCUUCAUGCUAGAUGGCUGGGGUGUUAGGUGCUUGAUGGGGGGAUCCCUUGCCUGGCUGGCUGGGUUGCAGCCAUUCAAGGGAUGGCCUACACCUGGGGCUUUGGGGCUCGCCCAGGCAGGUCAAGGCGGAGGUCUGGAGUUGAUCCCAUGGCUUGACCUGUACCACUUAGUUGGCCCUUGCCUUGUUUAUGUUAAUGGUCAUUUUAAUAAAUAGCCCUUUAAUACCAAGCCUGUGUCUGUCUCUUCAUUCUGACUGGGGUUGCAAUUUGGCUUUCCCAGCCGCAGCAAAGCUGCUUAGGCUGGGAGCCGGCUUUGCAGCCCUGCCCGGAGGAAGCUGACAGGCUCCCUUCCUGGGCAUCCAGGGCUUUGGCUGGGGGAGGAGCCAAGAGCUGUUUGCAGGCGGCUCCGCUUCCCCAGCGUCAGUUUCCUCAUGUGCUUGGCCCACCCACUUCACCCUGUUUUAGUGCAGGAUUAGCUGGCUGCUGUGUCAGAGCCAGGUAGGAUUUUUUUCCCUCUUUGCCCUGAUUGGCUUUGGGAGAAGGGGUUUUUUGCCUACCUCGCACUAAUAGCAGUGUUCUGGGGUAUUGUUUGGGUGGUGCUGUUUGAUCUGUCAUUGACAGGAGAGUUUUGGGUAUAAGGUGUGGGCCAGUGAGCACCCAGUGGCGCUUCCCCAUGGGUGGGGAACAGGGUCUGCCAUCAGUGUGGUAUGCUUGUGGCAGCUACCAUUGCACAGGCAGACGCCUGCUGGGGAUCCCCAACUACAAGGCCUUCCUUCAUGCUAGACGGCUAGGGUGUUAGGUGCUUGAUGAGGGGAUCCCUUGCCUGGCUGGCUGGGUUGCAGCCAUUCAAGGGAUGGCCUACACCCGGGGCUUUGGGGCUCACCGAGGCAGGUCAAGGUGGAGGUCCGGAGUUGAUCCCGUGGCUUGACCUGUACCGCUUAGUUGGGCCUUGCCUUGUUUAUGUUAAUGGUCAUUUUAAUAAACGGCCUUUU
This is a long non-coding RNA of Eublepharis macularius, 2128 nucleotides long. RefSeq lists it as uncharacterized. NCBI's taxonomy places the organism in Eukaryota, Metazoa, Chordata, Lepidosauria, Squamata, Eublepharidae. The record is from RefSeq and is a predicted model, not a curated record. The transcript has 3 exons.